Molecule: transfer RNA, 74 nt
Filed under: candidate division WOR-1 bacterium RIFOXYA12_FULL_52_29
Lineage: Bacteria; Bacillati
Also listed under: 6 other names
Description: tRNA-Arg
Rfam family: tRNA
About the family: Transfer RNA (tRNA) molecules are approximately 80 nucleotides in length.
Source: RNAcentral
GGGCCCGUAGCUCAGUUGGAUAGAGCAACGGAUUUCUAAUCCGUAGGUCGGAGGUUCGAUCCCUCUCGGGCCCG